Molecule: ribosomal RNA, 656 nt
Filed under: Ochromonas sp. CCMP1393
Lineage: Eukaryota; Chrysophyceae; Chromulinales; Chromulinaceae
Description: partial Bacterial large subunit ribosomal RNA
Rfam family: Bacterial large subunit ribosomal RNA
Source: RNAcentral
GUUAAGCGACUAAGCGUACACGGUGGAUGCCCUGGCAGUCAGAGGCGAUGAAGGACGUGCUAAUCUGCGAUAAGCGUCGGUAAGGUGAUAUGAACCGUUAUAACCGGCGAUUUCCGAAUGGGGAAACCCAGUGUGUUUCGACACACUAUCAUUAACUGAAUCCAUAGGUUAAUGAGGCGAACCGGGGGAACUGAAACAUCUAAGUACCCUGAGGAAAAGAAAUCAACCGAGAUUCCCCCAGUAGCGGCGAGCGAACGGGGAGCAGCCCAGAGCCUGAAUCAGUGUGUGUGUUAGUGGAAGCGUCUGGAAAGGCGCGCGAUACAGGGUGACAGCCCCGUACACAAAAAUGCACAUGCUGUGAGCUCGAUGAGUAGGGCGGGACACGUGGUAUCCUGUCUGAAUAUGGGGGGACCAUCCUCCAAGGCUAAAUACUCCUAACUGACCGAUAGUGAACCAGUACCGUGAGGGAAAGGCGAAAAGAACCCCUGUGAGGGGAGUGAAAUAGAACCUGAAACCGUAUACGUACAAGCAGUGGGAGCAGACUUGUUCUGUGACUGCGUACCUUUUGUAUAAUGGGUCAGCGACUUGGUCUUACGAGCAAGCUUAAACCGAUAGGUGUAUGCGCAGCGAAAGCGAGUCUUAAUAGGGCGACAUGU